GCUGGCGGCGUGCCUAAUACAUGCAAGUCGAGCGGCAACGAGUUUUGCACCUAGUCUUCUGACCUACGGGUAGAAGACUGAGUGCAGAAUGUCGGCGAGCGGCGGACGGCAGAGUAACACGUAGGAACGUACCCCAAACUGAGGGAUAACUGCUCGAAAGAGUAGCUAAUACCGCAUGUGAUCUUCGGAUUAAAGCUUCGGCGGUUUGGGAACGGCCUGCGUAUGAUUAGCUAGUUGGUGAGGUAAUGGCUCACCAAGGCGACGAUCAUUAGCUGGUCUGAGAGGAUGAUCAGCCUGACUGGAACUGAGACACGGUCCAGACUCCUACGGGAGGCAGCAGUAGGGAAUUUUCCACAAUGGACGAAAGUCUGAUGGAGCAACGCCGCGUGCAGGAUGAAGGCUCUAGGGUCAUAAACUGCUUUUAUUUGUGACGAUUAUGACAGUAGCAAAUGAAUAAGGGUCGGCUAACUACGUGCCAGCAGCCGCGGUCAUACGUAGGACCCAAGCGUUAUCCGGAAUUACUGGGCGUAAAGAGUUGCGUAGGUGGCAAGUUAAGUGGGUAGUGAAAUCGUGUGGCUCAACCAUACAGACAUUAUCUAAACUGGCUAGCUUGAGUGAGAUAGAGGUAACUGGAAUUCCAAGUGUAGGAGUGAAAUCCGUAGAUAUUUGGAGGAACACCGAUGGCGUAGGCAGGUUACUGGAUCUCAACUGACACUGAGGCACGAAAGCGUGGGGAGCAAACGGGAUUAGAUACCCCCGGUAGUCCACGCCCUAAACUAUGGAUGCUAGCUGUGAGGAGUAUCGA
This 805-nucleotide ribosomal RNA is filed under the name uncultured Candidatus Saccharibacteria bacterium. Its description in RNAcentral is "bacterial SSU rRNA". It matches the Rfam family "Bacterial small subunit ribosomal RNA", at positions 35 to 835 of the family's 1533-position model. The record is from RNAcentral. Lineage: Bacteria; Candidatus Saccharimonadota.